Molecule: non-coding RNA, 112 nt
Organism: Caerostris darwini
Lineage: Eukaryota; Metazoa; Arthropoda; Arachnida; Araneae; Araneidae
Source: the annotation of a GenBank genome assembly
AACGGCCGUACCAUGCUGAAUAUACCGGUUCUCGUCGAUCACCGAAGUGAAGCAUCGUGGGCGCCCGGUCAGUACUUGGGUGGGUGACCACCUGGGAGCACCGCGUGCCGUU